Molecule: ribosomal RNA, 253 nt
Filed under: uncultured bacterium
Lineage: Bacteria
Description: partial 16S ribosomal RNA
Rfam family: Bacterial small subunit ribosomal RNA
Source: RNAcentral
UACGAAGGGGGCUAGCGUUGCUCGGAAUUACUGGGCGUAAAGCGCACGUAGGCGGCUUUGUAAGUUAGAGGUGAAAGCCUGGUGCUCAACACCAGAACUGCCUUUAAGACUGCAUCGCUUGAAUCAUGGAGAGGCGGGUGGAAUUCCGAGUGUAGAGGUGAAAUUCGUAGAUAUUCGGAAGAACACCAGUGGCGAAGGCGGCCCGCUGGACAUGUAUUGACGCUGAGGUGCGAAAGCGUGGGGAGCAAACAGG